UAGUGGCGAACGGGUGAGUAACACGUGAGUAACCUGCCCUUGACUCUGGGAUAAGCGCUAGAAAUGGCGUCUAAUACCGGAUACGAGCUUCAGCCGCAUGGCUAGGAGUUGGAAAGAAUUUUGGUCAAGGAUGGACUCGCGGCCUAUCAGCUAGUUGGUGAGGUAAUGGCUCACCAAGGCGACGACGGGUAGCCGGCCUGAGAGGGUGACCGGCCACACUGGGACUGAGACACGGCCCAGACUCCUACGGGAGGCAGCAGUGGGGAAUAUUGCACAAUGGGCGAAAGCCUGAUGCAGCAACGCCGCGUGAGGGAUGACGGCCUUCGGGUUGUAAACCUCUUUUAGUAGGGAAGAAGCGAAAGUGACGGUACCUGCAGAAAAAGCACCGGCUAACUACGUGCCAGCAGCCGCGGUAAUACGUAGGGUGCAAGCGUUGUCCGGAAUUAUUGGGCGUAAAGAGCUCGUAGGCGGUUUGUCGCGUCUGCUGUGAAAUCUGGGGGCUCAACCCCCAGCCUGCAGUGGGUACGGGCAGACUAGAGUGCGGUAGGGGAGAUUGGAAUUCCUGGUGUAGCGGUGGAAUGCGCAGAUAUCAGGAGGAACACCGAUGGCGAAGGCAGAUCUCUGGGCCGUAACUGACGCUGAGGAGCGAAAGCAUGGGGAGCGAACAGGAUUAGAUACCCUGGUAGUCCAUGCCGUAAAC
RNAcentral lists this ribosomal RNA (700 nucleotides) under Frigoribacterium sp. RNAcentral describes it as "bacterial SSU rRNA". It matches the Rfam family "Bacterial small subunit ribosomal RNA", at positions 93 to 807 of the family's 1533-position model. Lineage: Bacteria; Bacillati; Actinomycetota; Actinomycetes; Micrococcales; Microbacteriaceae. The record is from RNAcentral.